Molecule: long non-coding RNA, 614 nt
Organism: Cercocebus atys (sooty mangabey)
Lineage: Eukaryota; Metazoa; Chordata; Mammalia; Primates; Cercopithecidae
Exons: 2
Source: RefSeq, a predicted model, not a curated record
AUCAGUGUAUCUACUUUAACUUGGAGCUCAGGCAAGCAAGUGCUAAAUUCACACUACCCUGUCUCUGCCAAGGUGAUGGGGGACAAGACGCCUUGUAACUUUGAAGAAGAGAUGUACACACCCCUGUGUCUCCCACAUAAACGGACUCAAGAGCUGCAACAGUGCAUAUGAUCCCUUCUUUCCACUGUUGAUAGUUGAAAGCAGCCGUUUCCAGCUUCUUGCCGGCGAUCACUCUGCUAAAAAUAGCUUUGAUGCUGUCACAUGCAAACUUGAACAGAACCUGAAAGCAGUUCCCCUUUUAGUUCUGAGCUGGUUCAACUUUAAAAGAGAGGCAGCUGUUAACACACUCCAGCGUGUUUACACGAUGCUGAAGUAGUUCAGCUCGUAGUAAAAAUACCACUGAAAAGGCACAGGCUUGGGUUUGCAGCCUCUGCUGACGACAUUUCUUCCUGCUGAGCUGGAGCCCGGGGAGGGGCGGUAAGGUUAGCAGGGAAAAUCCAAAAUGUCCAGUUUGAAGGGGAAAGAGGCUGCGGUGAAGACAGGAGAGAGAUGUUUGUUGAGACGUGAGAUUUCUGACUAUGGUAGAGGCGGGGCAGGAGAUCAUAUAGAAAAAA